UUACGGCCAUAUCAUGUUCAAACAUUGGUUCUCGUCCUAUCAUCGAAGUUAAGCAACGCCGAGCCUGGUCAGCACCUAGAUGGGUAACCGCUUGGGAAUACCACGUGCUGUAAG
This is a non-coding RNA of Acanthosepion pharaonis, 114 nucleotides long. Lineage: Eukaryota; Metazoa; Mollusca; Cephalopoda; Sepiida; Sepiidae. The record is from the annotation of a GenBank genome assembly.